This 1614-nucleotide ribosomal RNA is filed under the name uncultured marine eukaryote. RNAcentral describes it as "bacterial SSU rRNA". The stretch from base 168 to 1614 matches the Rfam family "Bacterial small subunit ribosomal RNA". The record is from RNAcentral.
CGGCCUAUGGUAGAAGCCAACGGGGAAAGGGGUGUGACUACAGGAGAUUAAGUUGGCAACAUCAGGGCUUUGCCAGUCACGGGUCUGAAAGGAUACCCGAGAUAUGUAAUCAGGCUCGGUAUCGGGGAAGUGGUCCAUUUAGAUACGUGCUCCAGCGGCAGCCAGUUUCAUCAUAUAGCUUGAUUAUCCCUCAGGGUUGGAUCAUAGCUCGCGUGCUUCACACAGCUAUGUCUAACGCAUUUAUUUUAGUGGAAGGUCGGUCGAGUAACGCCGGAGGAUUUACUUCUAGAGAGAAUCUAUUAUAGGUAUUGAAUCCUUGUAGGCUUAGGCUGGGAAAAGAUCAUUCUGUCUGAGAAAUAAUCGCGCGUGCUGAUUAAGGAGGAGGUCAGGCAAGAGUUGAUCAAGGAUGAGGAUCAGUAUCACCUAGGCCAGGAUCAUCAGCCACAUGGGAAAUGGGUCACGGUCCAAACUCCUACACGAGGCCCCAGUGAGGAAUUUUGGCCAAUGGGGGCAUUCUCGACAGAGCAAUACAGCGUGAGGGAUGAUAGCGUUUGGGUGGUAAACGUUUUUUUUCAGGGAGGAAGUUUUGCAGGGUACAAGAUGAAUAAGCAUUUGCUAACUAAGCAUCCAGCAGCUCCGGUACGGCGGAGGAGGCAAGUGUUAUCCGGAAUUAUUGUCCGUAAAGCGUGGGCAGGUUGUUUUAUAAGUUUAUUGUUAAAGGUCGAAGCUUAACUUCGAAAAUGCGGUAGAAACUGUUUAACUAGAGUAUGGUCGAAGUAGAAGGAAUUUCCAGUGGAGUGGUGAAAUGCGUAGAUAUUGGAAAGAACACCGAUGGCGAAAGCAUUCUAUUAGGGCAUUACUGACACUCAGAGACGAAAGCUAGGGUAGCAAAUGGGAUUAGAUACCCCAGUAGUCUUAGCUGUAAACGAUGGAUACUAAAUAUUACACGUAUCGACCCGUGUGGUGUUAAAGCUAACGCGUUAAGUAUCCCGCCUGGGGAGUACGCUCGCAAGGGUUAAACUCAAAGGAAUUGACGGGGGCCCGCACAAGCGGUGGAGCAUGUGGUUUAAUUUGAUGCAACGCGAAGAACCUUACCAGGGUUUGACAUGGUACUUAGCUUUUUGAGAAAAAAGUAACCUUCGGGAGGUACACACAGGUGGUGCAUGGCUGUCGUCAGCUCGUGUCGUGAGAUGUUGGGUUAAGUCCCGCAACGAGCGCAACCCUUGUUUUUAGUUAAUUGGUUCGCCUAUUCUAGAAAGACUAUCGGUUAUAAACCGGAGGAAGGUGAGGACGACGUCAAGUCAGCAUGCCCCUUAUAUCCUGGGCUACACACGUGCUACAUUGGGUUAGGACAAUGAGAAACAAUUUCGUGAGAAAAAGUCAAUCUAUAAACCUACUCUAAGUUCGGAUUGUAGGCUGCAACUCGCCUACAUGAAGUUGGAAUCGCUAGUAAUCGCUGGUCAGCUACACAGCGGUGAAUUCGUUCCCGGGCCUUGUACACACCGCCCGUCACACCAUGGAAGCUGGUUACACCCGAAGUCGUUAUUCUAACCGUUUGGAGGAAGGCGCCUAAGGUAGAGCUAGUGACUGGGGUGAAGUCGUAACAAGGUAACC